UACGGAGGGGGCUAGCGUUGUUCGGAAUCACUGGGCGUAAAGCGCACGUAGGCGGGUCAGCAAGUCAGGGGUGAAAUCCCGGGGCUCAACCCCGGAAGUGCAUUUGAUACUGUAGGGCUUGAGUAUGGGAGAGGGAAGUGGAAUUCCUGGUGUAGCGGUGAAAUGCGUAGAUAUCAGGAGGAACACCGGUGGCGAAGGCGGCUUCCUGGACCAAUACUGACGCUGAGGCGCGAAGGCGUGGGGAGCAAACAGG
This 253-nucleotide ribosomal RNA is filed under the name uncultured bacterium. RNAcentral describes it as "partial 16S ribosomal RNA". It matches the Rfam family "Bacterial small subunit ribosomal RNA", at positions 524 to 776 of the family's 1533-position model. The record is from RNAcentral.